This 464-nucleotide ribosomal RNA is filed under the name uncultured bacterium. RNAcentral describes it as "bacterial SSU rRNA". It matches the Rfam family "Bacterial small subunit ribosomal RNA", at positions 330 to 792 of the family's 1533-position model. The record is from RNAcentral.
UCCAGACUCCUACGGGAGGCAGCAGUGAGGAAUAUUGGUCAAUGGACGAGAGUCUGAACCAGCCAAGUAGCGUGAAGGAUGACUGCCCUAUGGGUUGUAAACUUCUUUUAUAUGGGAAUAAAAUGUUCCACGUGUGGGAUUUUGUAUGUACCAUAUGAAUAAGGAUCGGCUAACUCCGUGCCAGCAGCCGCGGUAAUACGGAGGAUGCGAGCGUUAUCCGGAUUUAUUGGGUUUAAAGGGUGCGCAGGCGGGAGAUCAAGUCAGCGGUAAAAUGUCGGGGCUCAACCCCGGCCGGCCGUUGAAACUGGUUUUCUAGAGUUGGAGAGAAGUAUGCGGAAUUCGUGGUGUAGCGGUGAAAUGCAUAGAUAUCACGAAGAACUCCGAUUGCGAAGGCAGCAUACCGGCUCCAUACUGACGCUGAGGCACGAAAGCGUGGGGAUCGAACAGGAUUAGAUACCCUGGUA